GAGUGUGUGCGUGCGUGUUUGCAAGCUUUGAGCUAAGUUGACAUGUUUUCAUGAGCUCUGCAUAUUGGAGCCGUUCUUAUCACAAAAUACAUUUAUGAUAAGAAUCUUGCACAUGCAAUAAAAACACAUAAUAAUAAACCUCAUUACAAAGCACCUUUGAAAUCCCAGGCACAAGUUGCCUGUUAAGUAAAGAAUGAAAAAUGUAAGGAAAGGAUAGGAAAAAAUCUAGAUCAGACAUUUGUGUUAAGGAUAUGGAGAUCUGUUUUAUUAAGAUUAAGAUGCAUUUAUUAGUCCUAAACACAUACACAGACAUGCAAAGGCACACUCAUGCAGGUAGGGUUAGGGUUAGUUUUAGUUGUUCAGACCAUAAUCACCAUAUGGUCCAAAGCGACAUAAAUUUACCAUUGACAUAUGGACCUCAGACGUCAGUCCAGUUAGUAUGCUUGGUUUUGACCACUUGGUGGCUGGAUGAUGAUUUUGUAGCCGAUGGUUUACUUAAUUUAUACUGCGAGGCAUUAGUCUGUGGGUGAACCAGAACAGCAUGCUUUUUUAUUUAUUCUUUAAUCCUCAACUCCUCUCUUCACAACAGAAACACUUCCGUUAGUGGCCGUUCACAAGAAGAAUCCCAACAGACAAACCGCUUAUGACAGGAAACACAAAUCAAUCUUCCACAAUAAAGAAAACUAAAUAAAAUAGCUUACAAUUUCAAUAUAAAACCGACAUUGUUGAAUGAACUCACACACAGCAGCUCUAUAAAAGCCUUCAAGGAGAUAAGAGAUUAAGAUGCACUUUACUUUUAGUUUCAACUCGUGUUUAAUAACUCGUGUUCAAUAGUUGACAUUUCUGUGCAGGGAUAUUGUCAGUGCAUUUAAUUACUAACCCCUAUGUCGUUGGGGUGAGUGGGUGAACCUUUCUGAUGAACUAUCCUUUUAACAGUAUGGUUUCAAAACGAUGACACAAUAUUUUUUGGGACAAUAUAGAGCCAACUAGGGCUUAAUUUAACUAACCAGAAAAUAACUUUUUUGCACAUUUGCACAUUUGGUGUGUAUAAUGUACAUAUUCAGUAUUUCUUUUAUUAAAUUGUAAAAAAUUUAAAUUAAAUUUCUUUAUUCUCUUGUGCUCAAUCGUGCCAACUGCUGUAACAACUGAAUUUACUCUAUGUGGAUCAAAAAAGUUGUAUCUUAUCUUAACUUAAAUCGGGGCCACUGCAAUGGGGCAGAUUACUACUGGUCAACAAGUGACUCUGCUCCUCUGUUUUCGAAUCACUCAAACGUAGAACUGAUCUUGGCUAAGCAGGUGUCGCUUCUUCAGCAACAAUGAAUUUAAAACACUACGUUACGUCGUAAUCUGUGAGGAAAAACUGUCUGCAGGAGUGUGACUGCGCUUGUCUCUGUCCCUCUUCAGUCACAAACAGAUAUUCACAUGGAAUAUUCACCAUCUAGUCCUAAAUUCUAAAAUAGUUAUUAAUUGAUGAUUUCGGAUCAUGAUUUCAAAUCAUUCCUGUCACUUUAACCCGGAUAUCCUGACUGUGCUGAAUUAAACAACACAAAGUAAAUAUCCGUCCUGUACGUGUCCUUAUAAGUUUUGAUCAAUGAUGUUGUUUAUUGUUAAAGGGGACAUAUUAUGAAAAUUCCACUUUUGUAGUGCUUCUACACAUUAUUUUGGGUAUCUGGCAUGUCUACCGUUCCAAAAACUCUGGAAAAAAACAACUCCCGCGAUUUGUUGUGGUUCCUCUAUUUCAGAAACUAUGUGCUUGAGUGCAUCCAAUUACGACCGAAAUAGACGUCAUAGUCGCAACAUGCCCAUUUAGUACAUUCCCCCAUAGCUCUAUGCACUCCCCCACUACCACUCGACCCAUCCCUAGAUGGACCCUCCUACUUUAUAGACAGUCGGUCCAUCAUUGUCCAGCCGCCAUUUCAUUCUUGCAAGCCUUGGAAACACUUGGAUAAGCUAAUUAGCAGCAUGAAUCGGUUGUUGGCUGCAAACAUGUCUCCAUGUGACUCCAGCUUCAGAAGACACAAGAUUGAGAUGGAUUGAGUUCAUAUAUGAUGGCAACGUUCCUGCCACCACUUUGAAUCGGACUGUUGUAUCAACCUGGGCCAAUAUAACAACGGAUUCUUGAAAAGGUUGUUAUUGAAAGAGGGGUCGGUGCCAUAUUUCCAUCGCAAUAGUGAAGACGAGGGAAAUGCACACAGACAAUUGUGCUGCACUGAUGUCGGUGUUGGGACCUCAGCUGUAAGAGACCUCGCUUGGAGGAAGGAGAGGACAACCCAAGUUGUUGCAGUAUGGACUUCGGAGAGCCACAGGCUGCUACCUAUGAUCCUGAUGACUUGAUCACAGUCUUGACUGAGUCAGCAGAUGUGACAUAACGUGGAUAACCUGUUGGACCUCAUCUUUCAUGAGGUUUUUCAGACCCGGCCCCAUAUGUGAAUGAGGUGCUGAAGAUCUCAAAACCUGAGGAUCUCUCUGCCAAGUAUGGCCUCAACACCAGCUAACAAAGCUUCUGUACGCCAAAUACCUGUAACGGCUGAGCAAAGUUUACAUUGUAUUUAGAGAAUAAAAGGUGACACACAAAUAUAAAGUGUUCCUUUGUUCACAGUAUGGCUACUGAUGGCACAAAGUGUAUUUUUGUAAUCAUUGUUUUUAUUAUACUUGGUAUUUGUUGUAUUUAUUACCUCUGUCCCAGCCAAUACAUUUAAUAACUAUUUUUAAAAAGCUCUGGCAUCUUUCUGACAAUAAAAAUUUAUAGAAGCUGUUCUGUGCUUUUAAUGUUUGAUAUGUAACAUGUCAACAAUUGACACGUGUAAGAUGAUCAG
Molecule: long non-coding RNA, 2816 nt
Organism: Platichthys flesus (European flounder)
Lineage: Eukaryota; Metazoa; Chordata; Actinopteri; Pleuronectiformes; Pleuronectidae
Exons: 3
Source: RefSeq, a predicted model, not a curated record